Molecule: RNA transcript, 1115 nt
Organism: Juglans microcarpa x Juglans regia
Lineage: Eukaryota; Viridiplantae; Streptophyta; Magnoliopsida; Fagales; Juglandaceae
Gene name: class V chitinase-like
Exons: 4
Source: RefSeq, a predicted model, not a curated record
UGGUUAAAUAUUAUGGCUUAUGACUACCAUGCACCAAAGCGGGAUAACGUCAGGCUGCUCAUGCGGCUUUGUAUGAUCCAGCGAGCCAGCUCAAUACACAUUAUGGUAUCCGCACCUGGAUCUCUAGGAGCUUAUCUGCAGGCAAGUUGGUUUUGGGGUUGCCUUUCUAUGGCUAUGCGUGGAAUCUUGUCGAUUCCCAGGACAACGCCAUAGGUGCACCAGCCACAGGUCCAACCAACACAACUGAAGCAGCUAUGAUCGAUAAGCCAAUCAAAGAUCAUAUUUGGAUGUAUGGGGCUGCUGUAAUGUACAAUUCCACUUAUGUGGAAAAUUAUUGCAUUGCUGAAUCAUUUUCGAUUGGUUUUGAUGAUGUGGAGGCUGUCAGAACUAAGGUUUCUUAUGCCAUGGAAAUGACGUUGCUUAGUUGCUAUGUCUAGCAAGUACCCAACCAUGAUGACAAUUGGGUGCUUUCUCUAGCUGCAGCAGAGGAGCUUGAUGAUGAAAAUCUGAUCCAAAAGGGGGGAUUGUUAGUGAUUGUUUUGGUUUCGAGUAGUGCUACGAUUGUUCUCCUCCUAGGCUCAAUGUGGGUGAUGUGUUAUUUGAGGAAGAGAGAGAUCAAAUUUACAGGGACUGUACUGAAGGCAAGGAAAGGACAAGAAGCCAAAGUAAAUGGUAUAGCAACUACUGAUAACUUAAACACCAAUGUUUCGGAUCUUUAAGUCUAUAGUUAUGCUGAUAUUGAGAUGGCUACGAAUAAAUUUCCAUUUGAAAAUAAGCUAGGAGAGGGUGGAUAUGGUCUUGUUUACAAGGGUGUACUAGCAAACAAACAGGAAAUAGCAGUGAAAAAACUUUCAAAAGCUUCAACACAGGGGUUUGAGGAGUUCAAGAAUGAGGUUACACUAACAGCAAAACUACAACAUGUUAAUCUUGUGAGAGUAUUGGGAUUUUGCAUCGAAAGGAAUGAACAAAUGUUGAUCUACGAGUACAUGCCAAACAAAAGCUUGGACUUCUACCUCUUUGGUAGGAAUCCUAUCUGUUCAUAAUUAGCAUAAUGUAAUUUGUUUUGCAAUGUUUCUUAAAUUUUUAGUGUUGAAAGUAGAAACAAAUAUUCAUGC